This is a long non-coding RNA of Herpailurus yagouaroundi (jaguarundi), 3003 nucleotides long. RefSeq lists it as uncharacterized. NCBI's taxonomy places the organism in Eukaryota, Metazoa, Chordata, Mammalia, Carnivora, Felidae. The transcript has 3 exons. The record is from RefSeq and is a predicted model, not a curated record.
UCCCCCGGUGUCCGCAAAUUCGCUUUUGUUUAUUUUCCUGAAAAGCUAAAUAAGCCAGUGAGACUGAGCAGCUCCACACCAGACGUGCGUUUUCAUUGUAAAAAUAUUUUUGCGGGUCGGAAAAUUGCACCAAAAUGUUUUCACAGGCAAAGCGCUGCCGUGUGCUGCUCAGCCCUGCGACCAGCGGCCACCAGGGAAGGGGCCGCCGAUGUGCACCUCGGGUGCGCAUUCCAGGAAUCAUAGCAACAAACAUUCAGGAAGCACGUACCAUGGGGCGGUUUGCCAUUUUCUAGGGUGAAGUUAUCUAUGGACAGUCGCACAACUACAGCUUGUUGCCAAUCUAGAGAAAGCCGAGAACAUUCCACGCACGUAGGACCAUCAGAGCCAGAGAGGCUUGGAAUCUGGUCCUGUGCCAGCACAGAGCAGGCCCACGGAGGCCGCCUGCGGCCGAGCGAGGCCUGCCUCCAGCCAUGCCUCAGCCCCAGCUCCCAGGAACUCACAGGGCCAUCUUUUUCCUGAAAUAGCUCCAGACACCCGCCAACCCCGUGGCCUGGUGCUCGGGUGGGGAAGCGUGAGGCGCCGGGUGCAGGAAGGGAAAGGGCCGGGCUGGGCGCACUCGGAGGCAGCCGUCGCUCCCGGGCUGGCGGGGGCACCCCGGGGCGGUGGGAGGGACGAGGGCUCUUGUGACUCUGGCCAUCGGCGCCGUUGCGGCCGCUGACCCUGGCGGGACGAGAUCCACCAUGUGGGUUUACCGACCUCCUCCUCAAGGACCGGGCCGCGGCGAUCCCUUGGAGUGUCCCUGGGCCUGGCACGGAUUUGUCGCUCGUGGGUGCUUGGUGACGGAUGGCGUGGAGCUCGGGUCCCGCUGCCCUGCCUCUGGCUCUGUGGACGAGUAUUCUAGGGCUCACAAGCCUCGCCCGGGGCUGGAGCCCCCCGCGACCGGGGGAGCAGGGGACGACAGUCUGUGGGGUCUGUCACGGCUGGGACAAGGACAGCCUCAGAUGGAAGCUUCCGGAGCGGUCUGGUCGAGCCCCCGGCACACCGGUGGGGGGCCAGUAACUGUGGGAUGAAGGAAAGUGCUCGGCUGUCAGCCUCGUUUCCGUGUCAGGCGUCCAUCCGCCCCUCAGCGGGCACAUGAGGUCACGGCGGCCGGAAGAACACAGCACACGCUCUCGCUGUUGUCUCCGUGCGGCCAGAGGGAGGCACAGUGCCGGACAUGGAGGGCGUCUCUGUAAACCCUGUCUGAACGCGGAGACAAAGGGGAUUUUAUAAACCACUUGCUUUUGCCAAACCAGCACAGCUGCCCAAUCCUGGAGUGUGCAUGUGUGUAUACGUGAGGGGUGUGUGUGCGUGUGUUGGACACGUGCGAGUGUGCACCUGUGUCUGUGUGCACACAUAUGGGGGGGGGGGACAGAGAUCAGCCCUGUGGGCUCCAGGGAUGGAGGCUAAGGAGGGUCCAGAGGGCCUGGCUGAGUCAGAAGCCAGUGGUCAGAGCAGAUGGAAACGUGUGGAGAGCAUAGGACUGCUUCCGAAGAGGGGGCAGGCGAGUGACAGCUGCAGAGGGCAGGGGUGCGGGGAGGGGGGGCCGGCCAGUGGGGCCGUGCCGUCACCACCGCCCCGGAACAGCGUUUCCCAGACCUCCCCGCGGGCCGGCCACCCUGCUGAGCUCGUACAGACACCGGCCCAUUCGGCCCUCGCCCCAGCCGCAAGGGGCAGGACUCUGACUCCCCUGGUCAGCAGAGGGCUUGACCCAAGACACAGGAAGUGACUCGUCCAAGGUCCCCAGCUGGUGAAAGGCGGAGCUGACGGCAGCCCCUGGGCUCGAGCCGCUGUGCUGUCUGAGGCUCCAAGGAGCGGCAUGGUGCGUGGACGUCCUGACUUCUGUUGGUGGUUAAUUUACGUCUCAGCCUGGCUGGGCUACGAUGUCCAGCCACACAGUCAAACGUUAUUCUGGGUGUUUCUGUGACCACCGUCUUUGGCAUGAGAUGAACAUUUACAUCGGUAGACUUUGAGUAAAGCAAAUUACCCUCCAUUAAGUGGAUGGGCCUCUUCCAAGCAGUAGACGGCCUGGAGAGAACAGAAGAGUGACCUCCCCUGAGCGAGAGGAAAUUCCACCAGCCGACGGACUUGGACAGAAACAUCGCCUCCUCCCUGGUCUCCGGCCUGCCAGCCCGCUCGCCCUACAGAGCCUGGACUUGCCCGUCUCCAUAACCGCGUGAGCCCAACCCUUCUAACGAAUCUCUUUAUUGUUCUGUUUCAACGGACAACCUUGGCCAAAUAUGCUUCCUCAGGAGCAGACAUCGGUAGAACUGGGCAAUCGGAAAUUAACUCCCGUGGAAACUUCCGGGCACCCGGCGUGGCCCAGGCAGGGGUUCAAACCGGCGAGCUGUGAGGGGUGAGGUGGGUUCUAGAGCAGGAAGGAGUGGAGUAGGGCAACAGGGGUGGCGGAUAGGGGCCAGGUCGCCCGAUACAGUCCACCUCUGCACGUUCUCGCUGCGUGGCCACAAGCAAGCCAUCUGAGGCCAAAGCUCCCGCCACCAGCCCUGCCUGGGGAGCAGAGCACCUCGUUUCCCGCCACUGGGUUCUCUCCCUGCUCCCCGGGCUCCCACGACAUCAUGUGUCAUCCCCUUGGCGGUGGCCUCGGCGUAAUCAAACACCCCUGAGUCAGAUGUUGCAGAAUUAACAAUCCCCCACGUGGUAUAAACAGAGUUUAAAUCAAAUGCAGUGAAAGGAUAUUGCCUUUUAAAUCGACCCUGACAGCUGUGGAAAAUAUUAUGCCCAAAUAGAAUCCUUACAUACGACAGACAUUAAUUCUUCGAGAACCCCUAAACGGGUCCUCCGGAUCGUUUGUAAGAUUUUAUUUUAUUAUGGAUUGGAUGUAUUGAAGUAAGACUAUAAUCUUAUUGUGCUCUGACCUCUGUUUUUAUAGCUCUGUAUAAACAGCAGUUACCGUGUUAGAGGGAGAGAUGUUUACAGACGGAGAAAUAAAAACACGCCGCUUUA